Molecule: ribosomal RNA, 450 nt
Filed under: uncultured bacterium
Lineage: Bacteria
Description: partial 16S ribosomal RNA
Rfam family: Bacterial small subunit ribosomal RNA
Source: RNAcentral
GUGGGGAAUUUUGGACAAUGGGCGCAAGCCUGAUCCAGCAAUGCCGCGUGCAGGAAGAAGGCCUUCGGGUUGUAAACUGCUUUUGUACGGAACGAAAAGGCUCUGGCUAAUACCUGGAGCUCAUGACGGUACCGUAAGAAUAAGCACCGGCUAACUACGUGCCAGCAGCCGCGGUAAUACGUAGGGUGCGAGCGUUAAUCGGAAUUACUGGGCGUAAAGCGUGCGCAGGCGGUGAUGUAAGACAGUUGUGAAAUCCCCGGGCUCAACCUGGGAACUGCAUCUGUGACUGCAUUGCUGGAGUGCGGCAGAGGGGGAUGGAAUUCCGCGUGUAGCAGUGAAAUGCGUAGAUAUGCGGAGGAACACCGAUGGCGAAGGCAAUCCCCUGGGCCUGCACUGACGCUCAUGCACGAAAGCGUGGGGAGCAAACAGGAUUAGAAACCCUAGUAGUCC